AGUGUCUACAGCUGAAUGCUCUUCCUAAUGCCAACCACUCCGAGAGUGUAGUGGGUGCUUUUAUGUGCCACCAGCAUGGAUCCAGUCAGGCAGUACUGGCAAUGACCUCACUCGAAUCCUUUACACAUGUCACAGGCACAGUUGCCAGUAAGGCGACGCUGGUAACGAUCACGCUCGAAUGGUGCCUUUUAAGUGCCACUGCAUGGGAGCCAGUCAGGGGGUACUGGCAUCGACC
Octopus sinensis (East Asian common octopus) is the source of this 235-nucleotide long non-coding RNA. RefSeq lists it as uncharacterized. The transcript is spliced from 3 exons. NCBI's taxonomy places the organism in Eukaryota, Metazoa, Mollusca, Cephalopoda, Octopoda, Octopodidae. The record is from RefSeq and is a predicted model, not a curated record.